RNAcentral lists this ribosomal RNA (446 nucleotides) under uncultured bacterium. RNAcentral's name for it is "partial 16S ribosomal RNA". It matches the Rfam family "Bacterial small subunit ribosomal RNA", at positions 338 to 795 of the family's 1533-position model. The record is from RNAcentral.
CCUACGGGUGGCAGCAGUCGAGAAUCAUUCACAAUGGGGGAAACCCUGAUGGUGCGACGCCGCGUGGGGGAAUGAAGGUCUUCGGAUUGUAAACCCCUGUCAUGUGGGAGCAAAGUAGAAAGAGAGUACCACUAGAGGAAGAGACGGCUAACUCUGUGCCAGCAGCCGCGGUAAUACAGCGGUCGCAAGCGUUGUUCGGAACCACUGGGCGUAAAGCGUGCGUAGGCUGUUUCGUAGGUGGUGCGUGAAAGGCGGUGGCUCAACCCGCGGAGGGCGCAUGAGACUGGGAGACUAGAGUUAGCGAGGGGGAAGCGGAAUUCGCGGUGUAGCAGUGAAAUGCGUAGAUAUCGAGAGGAACACUCGUGGCGAAGGCAGGUUCCUGGACAUUAACUGACGCUGAAGCACGAAGGCCAGGGGAGCGAAAGGGAUUAGAUACCCGUGUAGUC